Molecule: ribosomal RNA, 497 nt
Filed under: uncultured bacterium
Lineage: Bacteria
Description: partial 16S ribosomal RNA
Rfam family: Bacterial small subunit ribosomal RNA
Source: RNAcentral
GAUGAACGCUGGCGGCGUGCCUAAUACAUGCAAGUCGAGCGAACAGACGAGGAGCUUGCUCCUCUGACGUUAGCGGCGGACGGGUGAGUAACACGUGGAUAACCUACCUAUAAGACUGGGAUAACUUCGGGAAACCGGAGCUAAUACCGGAUAAUAUAUUGAACCGCAUGGUUCAAUAGUUAAAGACGGUUUUGCUGUCACUUAUAGAUGGAUCCGCGCCGCAUUAGCUAGUUGGUAAGGUAACGGCUUACCAAGGCAACGAUGCGUAGCCGACCUGAGAGGGUGAUCGGCCAGACUGGAACUGAGACACGGUCCAGACUCCUACGGGAGGCAGCAGUAGGGAAUCUUCCGCAAUGGGCGAAAGCCUGACGGAGCAACGCCGCGUGAGUGAUGAAGGUCUUCGGAUCGUAAAACUCUGUUAUUAGGGAAGAACAAAUGUGUAAGUAACUAUGCACGUCUUGACGGUACCUAAUCAGAAAGCCACGGCUAACUACGUG